UACGUAGGGUGCGAGCGUUGUCCGGAAUUAUUGGGCGUAAAGAGCUCGUAGGCGGUUUGUUGCGUCUAUCGUGAAAACCUGCGGCUUAACUGUGGGCUUGCGGUGGAUACGGGCAGACUUGAGUUCGGUAGGGGAGACUGGAAUUCCUGGUGUAGCGGUGAAAUGCGCAGAUAUCAGGAGGAACACCGGUGGCGAAGGCGGGUCUCUGGGCCGAUACUGACGCUGAGGAGCGAAAGCGUGGGGAGCAAACAGG
This 253-nucleotide ribosomal RNA is filed under the name uncultured bacterium. RNAcentral describes it as "partial 16S ribosomal RNA". It matches the Rfam family "Bacterial small subunit ribosomal RNA", at positions 524 to 776 of the family's 1533-position model. The record is from RNAcentral.